This 400-nucleotide unclassified non-coding RNA is filed under the name uncultured Pezizales. Its description in RNAcentral is "sequence contains ITS2". The stretch from base 1 to 154 matches the Rfam family "5.8S ribosomal RNA". Lineage: Eukaryota; Fungi; Ascomycota; Pezizomycetes; Pezizales. The record is from RNAcentral.
AACUUUUGACAACGGAUCUCUAGGCUCUUGCAUCGAUGAAGAACGCAGUGAAAUGCGAUAAGUAAUGUGAAUUGCAGAAUCUCGUGAAUCAUUGAAUCUUUGAACGCACAUUGCGCCCUAUGGUAUUCCAUAGGGCAUACCUGUUUGAGCGUCAGCUCCACAUAUUCUCAAGCAUUAUUUUGUGAUGUUUGGAUUUGUUUGGAGAGGCACCUCUGUCAGAGAGGUACCCCCCAGAAAUCUAUAUGGCAGUAUAGUUUAUAUCUGAACUAGGCGUAAUAAUAAUAAAGUCGCUGAAUUCACCAUAUUUAUACUUGCCUGAACCCACCCAUUUGUUGAACCGGGUGACCUCAGAUCAGGUAGGGAUACCCGCUGAACUUAAGCAUAUCAAUAAGCGGAGGCU